UGACCCCUCCUCCCUUGCUGGUGCCGCUAGGCCCUGGGGAGACUGGGGGGUGGGUGGGGCGAGCAGCAGUACCAGUCCUCUCAGGAGGCUCUGAGCUCACACACGUGCCCCUGUGGGCCAGGUAAACAGGGUGGGUGCCUGGGUCAGCUGCUCCCUCCCACUCAUCCCCUGGGGGUGGCUGGCCUGGCCAGUUCCCUGCUCCACACCCAGCUUUCUUGGCCAAGAGCAGCCCCAGUGCUGAGACACCCUGAUGACCCCUCUCAGGCUGGCCACUUCCUUCCUUGGUACCUGGGGUCCCCACGGAAGGCAGUCUCACAGCUCCCAGACUCUCUGUGGGCUGCAAGGUAUGGAAGAGUGUGAGGACAGUCACCUUUAGGUGGCAGUAUGGGAAGGAAGAGAGAUGGGAGAGAAAAAGGCCACCAAAGCUGAGAGAGCAAGGCCAAGAAAGGGCAGCUGCCUCUCAUCCCGGUGCCCCUAAGCCAGGCUGGCUUACACCUCGGGUGGGUCCUGCCCCACUGGGCUCCCUACGUUUGCCUCCUGGUUGGGUCCCGCCUGUUGUUCCUUUCUCCUGAGACCCUCCACCCCAUCACCUCUAUGAGACACCAACCAACUAUCUCCUCAGAUGUCCCCAUCCCCACCCUGCACCCCAAAUUCCUGGGGUUGGGAAAUUGGAACACUUUUGCACCUGCCUUAUCCCAUUUCGUCCUCCCUCCCUGAUCCUUGGGCUCCCUCUCUGUUUCAACACAGACUCUCAGACUCACAAUUACAGCUCAUUACCCUAUCCGUGGCUGGCCCUGAGUCACGAGGGAGGGACUCUGGGCUACCCAGCCCUGUCACCUUCUCCCAGGCCACGGUAUAAGGAGUAGCAGCAGGGAGGAGACUCUGGGAAGGCAGGGGAGCCUGGGAAAGGAGAGAGAAGGCUGCGGACUUAGAGGGACGGAAGAGUAAGGAGGAAGAGCACAGAGGAGGGCACACACAGACACACGGAGGGGGAGGAAGGGCAAAGAGAAGAAAACUCGGGUGGGAAGAAGACGGGAGGAAGAGGAGCAAGGCAGAGAUGAAGUCACAGGGCUCCCUAGCCUGCCUCCUGCUGGCCCUGUGCCUGGGCAGUGGGGAGGCUGGCCCACUGCUGAGAGGAGGGGAGAGCGCUGGAGCAGGUGCUGGGGAGGCCGUGGGACAUGGGGUGCGAGACGCCAUUGGACAGGGGGCGGGAGACGCCAUUAGCCAUGGAGUCGAAGAGGCUGUUGGCCAAGGGGCUGGACAGGCAGCUGGCUCCGCAACCAGGGAGGUCAUGGGCCACGACAUGGGGGAAGCAGCCCGUGCCCUUGGAAACACUGCGGGUGAGGCUGGCAGACCGGCUGAGAACAUCAUUCGACAUGGAGGAGAUGCUGUCCACAGCUCCUGGCAGGGGAUGCCAGGCAGCAGCAGUGCUUGGGGGACUGUGGUCCAACCUGGUUACGGCUCCGUGAGAGGCAGCAACUCACACACAGAGUGCACCAACCCCCCACCAUCCGGCUCAGGCGGAAGCUCCAGCAGCUCGGGGGGAGGCAGCGGCGGAGGUGGUGGCAGCGGCGGUGAUGCCAGCAGAGGUGGCAGUGGUGGUGGCGGCAGCAGCAGUUACGGGUCCAGCUGGGACCGUUCCUUAGAAAAUUCUAGGAAUUUUGAUCAAAGCGACUACUCAAGCUCCCAGGGACACAAUACCGGCUCUUCCUCGGGUAGCAGUGGCGGCGGAAGUGGCGGCGUAAAUAAACCCGGGUGUGACAGCCCAGGGAAUGAAGUCCGCAUAUCCGGAGGAUCUGGGGGUCAGGGCUUUGGAGGAGGACAGGGAGGCUCUGGUGGCUAUGGUGACAUCAGGGAAAUAAGAAAAGAGGGCAGUCGCCUGGUUGGGGGCCCCCAAGACAAUUAUCAGAACUCUCAGACGUCUCCUGGGCUCUUCAACUUUGACACUUUCUGGAAGAAUUUUAAAUCCAAGCUGGGUUUCAUUAACUGGGAUGCCAUAAACAAGGGCCAAGUCCCACGCCCCAGCACACGCGCCCUGCUCUACUUCAGCCGACUCUGGGAGGAUUUCAAACACAACACCCCUUUCCUGAACUGGAAAGCCAUUAUUGAGGGUGCUGAUGCGUCCUUGCUCCAGAAGAGGUCGGGCAGUGCCGGUCAGUCUGGCUCAGGAUGGCAAGAGGUGGCCGUGGUGACUUCUAAGAACACCUAUAACCAGCAGGCAUACCCUACUCCCUCUGGUGGGCAGUACUCAGCCAAGAUCCCCUCUAAGAACAAGGAAGCCCCUGGCCUCAGGGACAGGACUUCUGCUGAGAGAUCAGGAGUCACCUCCUGACUGGAAGCAGGGGGGAGCCACGCCUUCUUCCUCGGCUUCCCAGGUGCGCCCUGGCCUGCUGCAGUGGGUGAAGUUCUGGUAGAAAAUUAUUUCCAAUCAUAACUGAGGUCCUGAACAACAUCAGCCAUCAAGGAGCUCAACUGUGCCCCACCCCCAACUCUCUCCCUGUGUCAGGCUUGGUCUGGGUGCUGACACCUGCUUUUUCCAGGUUGAACCUGGUCUGUCUGUCCCUCGUUUCUUCCAACUGAACUAUGGGGUCUCCUUGUCCAGAAACCUCAUCGGAUAAACCUGCCACUUUCUUCACCUACUCUGUUUUGUGACCUGAAGUCACUGUGACAAUUCUUCAGGAGAAGUUUCCUACUUUGGGAUUUCUUUGUGGAAAUAAAACAUGAAUCUUAUUUCCUUAAGAUUUCUCAUGCCGUGUUCUUUCAUGUUAUCCUGAUGGCCCGGAUCAGGGAGAAUGGAAGUGAUCUAGGGGCAGAUAAUGUGCCUUCCUGCUGAGAGUGGUAUACCAAAUGGGG
This is an RNA transcript of Mirounga angustirostris (Northern elephant seal), 2853 nucleotides long. It is a transcript of the gene named dermokine, with no coding region annotated. The record is from RefSeq and is a predicted model, not a curated record. The transcript has 20 exons. NCBI's taxonomy places the organism in Eukaryota, Metazoa, Chordata, Mammalia, Carnivora, Phocidae.